RNAcentral lists this ribosomal RNA (495 nucleotides) under uncultured bacterium. Its description in RNAcentral is "bacterial SSU rRNA". It matches the Rfam family "Bacterial small subunit ribosomal RNA", at positions 8 to 526 of the family's 1533-position model. The record is from RNAcentral.
AGAGUUUGAUCAUGGCUCAGAACGAACGUUGGCAGCGUGGAUUAGGCAUGCAAGUUGAGCGAAUCCCCGUAAGGGGGGAAGCAGCGUAAGGGGCAGUAAGGCAUGGAUAACCUACCCUGGGGUUUGGGAUAGCCCGUAGAAAUACGGGGUAAUACCGAGCGACGUGUCUGGAUGGCAUCAUCCGGCCACCAAAGGUCAGCCGCCCUGGGAAGGGUCCAUGUGGUAUUAGCUAGUUGGUGGGGUAACGGCCCACCAAGGCUAAGAUGCCUAGCGGGUGUGAGAGCACGACCCGCGCCACUGGCACUGCGAAACUGGCCAGACUCCUGCGGGAGGCUGCAGUGGAGGAUCUUCGGCAAUGGGCGAAAGCCUGACCGAGCGACGCCGCGUGCGCGACGAAGGCCUUCGGGUUGUAAAGCGCGAAGGGGGAGAGGAAGGGCAACUUGACCGAUCCCCAGUAAGCACGGGCUAGGUUCGUGCCAGCCGCCGCGGUAAUUC